This 404-nucleotide ribosomal RNA is filed under the name uncultured bacterium. RNAcentral describes it as "bacterial SSU rRNA". It matches the Rfam family "Bacterial small subunit ribosomal RNA", at positions 355 to 776 of the family's 1533-position model. The record is from RNAcentral.
UGGGGAAUAUUGGACAAUGGGCGAAAGCCUGAUCCAGCGACGUCGCGUGAGUGAUGAAGGCCUUCGGGUUGUAAAGCUCUUUUAGUGGGGAAGAUAAUGACGGUACCCACAGAAAAAGCCCCGGCUAACUUCGUGCCAGCAGCCGCGGUAAUACGAAGGGGGCUAGCGUUACUCGGAAUUAUUGGGCGUAAAGCGUGCGCAGGCGGCCAAGUAAGUUGGAAGUGAAAUCCUUAAGCUUAACUUAAGAAUUGCUUUCAAAACUACUUGGCUUGAGUGCUAGAGGGGAUAGUGGAAUUCCUAGUGUAGAGGUGAAAUUCGUAGAUAUUAGGAGGAACACCGGUGGCGAAAGCGAUUAUCUGGCUAGAAACUGACGCUGUUGCACGAAAGCGUGGGGAGCAAACAGG